ACGCUGACAGAAUGCUUAACACAUGCAAGUCUACUUGAACUUCGGUUUGGGUGGCGGACGGGUGAGUAACGCGUAAAGAACUUGCCUCACAGUUAGGGACAACAUUUGGAAACGAAUGCUAAUACCUGAUAUUAUGAUUUUAGGGCAUCCUAAGAUUAUGAAAGCUAUAUGCGCUGUGAGAGAGCUUUGCGUCCCAUUAGCUAGUUGGAGAGGUAACAGCUCACCAAGGCGAUGAUGGGUAGCCGGCCUGAGAGGGUGAACGGCCACAAGGGGACUGAGACACGGCCCUUACUCCUACGGGAGGCAGCAGUGGGGAAUAUUGGACAAUGGACCAAAAGUCUGAUCCAGCAAUUCUGUGUGCACGAUGACGUUUUUCGGAAUGUAAAGUGCUUUCAGUUGGGAAGAAAAAAAUGACGGUACCAACAGAAGAAGUGACGGCUAAAUACGUGCCAGCAGCCGCGGUAAUACGUAUGUCACAAGCGUUAUCCGGAUUUAUUGGGCGUAAAGCGCGUCUAGGUGGUUAUGUAAGUCUGAUGUGAAAAUGCAGGGCUCAACUCUGUAUUGCGUUGGAAACUGCAUGACUAGAGUACUGGAGAGGUAAGCGGAACUACAAGUGUAGAGGUGAAAUUCGUAGAUAUUUGUAGGAAUGCCGAUGGGGAAGCCAGCUUACUGGACAGAUACUGACGCUAAAGCGCGAAAGCGUGGGUAGCAAACAGGAUUAGAUACCCUGGUAGUCCACGCCGUAAACGAUGAUUACUAGGUGUUGGGGGUCGAACCUCAGCGCCCAAGCUAACGCGAUAAGUAAUCCGCCUGGGGAGUACGUACGCAAGUAUGAAACUCAAAGGAAUUGACGGGGACCCGCACAAGCGGUGGAGCAUGUGGUUUAAUUCGACGCAACGCGAGGAAC
Molecule: ribosomal RNA, 907 nt
Filed under: uncultured bacterium
Lineage: Bacteria
Description: bacterial SSU rRNA
Rfam family: Bacterial small subunit ribosomal RNA
Source: RNAcentral